Transfer RNA from Clostridium sp. FS41, 71 nucleotides. It matches the Rfam family "tRNA". Rfam says of the family: Transfer RNA (tRNA) molecules are approximately 80 nucleotides in length. Their secondary structure includes four short double-helical elements and three loops (D, anti-codon, and T loops). Lineage: Bacteria; Bacillati; Bacillota; Clostridia; Eubacteriales; Clostridiaceae. The record is from Rfam.
GGCGACGUAGCCAAGUGGUAAGGCACGGGUCUGCAACACCCUCACCACCGGUCCGAAUCCGGUCGUCGCCU